AGUGAACGCUGGCGGUAGGCCUAACACAUGCAAGUCGAACGGCAGCACAGUAAGAGCUUGCUCUUACGGGUGGCGAGUGGCGGACGGGUGAGGAAUACAUCGGAAUCUACUUUUUCGUGGGGGAUAACGUAGGGAAACUUACGCUAAUACCGCAUACGACCUACGGGUGAAAGCAGGGGAUCUUCGGACCUUGCGCGAUUGAAUGAGCCGAUGUCGGAUUAGCUAGUUGGCGGGGUAAAGGCCCACCAAGGCGACGAUCCGUAGCUGGUCUGAGAGGAUGAUCAGCCACACUGGAACUGAGACACGGUCCAGACUCCUACGAGAGGCAGCAGUGGGGAAUAUUGGACAAUGGGCGCAAGCCUGAUCCAGCCAUACCGCGUGGGUGAAGAAGGCCUUCGGGUUGUAAAGCCCUUUUGUUGGGAAAGAAAAGCAGCAGGUUAAUACCCCGCUGUUCUGACGGUACCCAAAGAAUAAGCACCGGCUAACUUCGUGC
RNAcentral lists this ribosomal RNA (493 nucleotides) under uncultured bacterium. Its description in RNAcentral is "partial 16S ribosomal RNA". It matches the Rfam family "Bacterial small subunit ribosomal RNA", at positions 29 to 508 of the family's 1533-position model. The record is from RNAcentral.